GAAAUUUUAAAUUAUUGCUUAGAUAAGAAUUUACUUAAAUAUAAAAAAAUUAAUAAAAAAAUAAGUCAGUAAUUAAUAAUGAAAUUUAUUAGAUAGGCAAUAGAAUAAAAGUACUGAAUGGGAAGUAAAAUUAAAAAAUUUUAAAGUAUAAAAGUAAAUUUAAAUUUUUGUACCUUGUGUAUCAGGGAUAAUUAAAAUUAUUCAUAAAAAAUGUUUAUCCCGAAAUAAAGAUAGCUAAUAUUAUACUUAAUUUUUUGUGACAUAAAAAUUUAUAAUAUAAUAUUAAAGAUGAAAUGUCAAACGAGCUUUAUAGUAUCUGGUUUUUUAGGAAUAAAAUAUAAUUUAAUUAUUGAAAUAAAAUAAAUUCAAUAUUUAAGGAUAGGAGGGAAAAGCUUCUUAUACUAUUAAAAUCAGACAAUAGAAUAAAAAAUUUAAGAUAAAUGUUUUCUAAGCUUAAAAGUAGUUAUGAAAUUAAAGUGUUCUAAUUUAGAUUUAAUGAAAUAAUAAUUUAUUAUAUCUUUGAUAAAGUACUAAAAUAUUAAAUUUAAUAUUAAAUUUUAAGAAGAAAUGAUUAUAUAAGUAAAAUUAAAAUUUGUAGAAUGAUUAUUUUUUUAAAGUGAAAUAUUAGAAAUUAAAAUUAUAAAUUAAUCAUGAAAUAAAAAAGGAACUCGGCAAAAAGAUUUCUUGCCUGUUUAUCAAAAACAUGUCUAUUUGAGGUUAUGUAUAGUCUAGCCUGCUCACUGACAAAAAUGUUAAAUAGCCGCGGUAUUUUGACCGUGCAAAGGUAGCAUAAUCAUUAGUUUUUUAAUUGAAAACUUGUAUGAAUGGUUGGACAAAGAAAAAGCUGUCUCUUUUAUUUGAAUUGAAAUUAACUUCUAAGUGAAAAGGCUUAGAUUUUUUAGAGGGACGAUAAGACCCUAUAAAGCUUUAUAAGUUAAGUAAGUUAAAUUAAUUUUUUAAAAUAAAAAUAAGCUUAAAAAAUUUAUUUGGUUGGGGCGACAAUGGUAUAAAUUAAAUAACUGCUAUUAAAAUUAAGCAAUUAUAUUUGAUUAGAAUUAUAAUUGAUCCUUAUUAUGGAUUAAAAGAUCAAGUUACUUUAGGGAUAACAGCGUAAUUUCUUUUGAGAGUUCUUAUCAAAGAAGAAGUUUGCGACCUCGAUGUUGAAUUAAAAUGUCUUUAUAGUGCAGAAGCUAUAAAAGAAGGUCUGUUCGACCUUUAAUUUUUUACAUGAUUUGAGUUCAGACCGGUGUAAGCCAGGUCGGUUUCUAUCUUCUAAAAAGAAAUAAAUUACUUUAGUACGAAAGGAUUAAGUAGUUAAAAUUUUUUUGAUAAUUGAAAUA
Molecule: ribosomal RNA, 1340 nt
Filed under: Scylla paramamosain (green mud crab)
Lineage: Eukaryota; Metazoa; Arthropoda; Malacostraca; Decapoda; Portunidae
Description: 16S ribosomal RNA
Rfam family: Bacterial large subunit ribosomal RNA (bases 876-1279)
Source: RNAcentral